This 1760-nucleotide ribosomal RNA is filed under the name Gnathostomula paradoxa. RNAcentral describes it as "eukaryotic LSU rRNA". It matches the Rfam family "Eukaryotic large subunit ribosomal RNA", at positions 70 to 1884 of the family's 3401-position model. The record is from RNAcentral. Lineage: Eukaryota; Metazoa; Gnathostomulida; Bursovaginoidea; Gnathostomulidae.
CGUGAUUCCUUUAGUAACGGCGAGUGAAACAGGAAAAGCUCAGCGCUGAAUCUGCAGCUUGCUGUAGAGGUGUAGCGUGUGAACGAUGCUGUAGGGUGCUUUGACUGGCUAAAAUCCUCUUGACUGAGGUGCUUUACUCUGUGUGAGCCAAGUUUAGCUGGUUUUAGUACCCUGUGGUGUUGUUCUUGAGUAAACUUACUUGAAAGUGUAAGUUGAAAGGCUGGUAUGCUUCAGCCAAGGCUCAAUAAAGGCAAGAGUCUGAUAGCAAACAAGUACCGUGAGGGAAAGUUGAAAAGAACUUUGAAGAGAGGGUUCAAUAGUACGUGAAACCACCUGGGAUGAAAGGGAUUUUCUGCCCUAUCUCUGCUGUUAUUUCUCUGGGUGCUUGCAUCUGGAGAAAGGCAGCAGAGGCUUCUCUGACUGUGGGUGAGUAUGAACUGUUCCCUUUGGGGUUCAGCUCUAACAAGCUUGUAGGAUGAGUGGUUUAGGGUGUGAAACCCACCCGUCUUGAAACACGGACCGAGGAGUCUAAUGCUCAUGCGAGGAGAAGGGUUUUAUCCCUGUAUCCGCAAUGAAAGUGAUUUUGAGCUGGAGCCCUUUGGGUGAACAGCAGCCGUCUCAUUUGAGAAAGGCAAAGUAUGAGUGUUAGUACCCGAAAGAUGGUGAACUAUGCAUGAGUAAGCUGAAGCCAGGGGAAACUCUGGUGGAGGGCUGUUGAGAUUCUGACGUGCAAAUCGAUCCUCUAACUUGUGUAUAGGGGCGAAAGACUAAUCGAACCAUCUAGUAGCUGGUUCCCCCUGAAGUUUCUCUCAGGAUAGCUGGCACUAAAACCUACUUUCAUCCGGUAAAGCAAAUGAUUAGAGGUCUUGGGGUUCAAAGAACCUUAACCUAUUCUCAAACUUUAAAUGGGUGAGAUGCACAAUAGUCUUUGUUUGCUAUUGAUGUAUCUAUGAAUAGAGUGUGCCAUGUGGGUCACUUUUGGUAAGCAGAACUGACGCUGUGGGAUGAACCAAACGUUGUGCUAAGGCGUGUAAUAACUUGCUCAUGAGAUCCCAUAAAAGGUGUUAGUUGCUAUAGACAGCAGGACGGUGGCCAUGGAAGCUGGAAUCCGCUAAGGAGUGUGUAACAACUCACCUGCCGAAGCAACUAGCCCUGAAAAUUCAUCACGCUAUUGCAAGUAGCCUAUGCACAACCACUGUGAAGUGGACACAGUGAGUAAGGGGGUAUAGCAGUAGUGUUGAAGCAGUGUUGUGAUGCACUGUGGAGCUGCUGUUAGUGCAGAUCUCGGUAGUAGUAGCAAAUACUCAAGUGAGAACCUUGAGGGCUGAAGUGGAGAAGGGUUCCAUGUGAACAGCAAUUGUACAUGGGUCAGACACUCCUAAGGGUGAGGCCUAUGGGCUCUUAAGCUGGAGUUUUGCUUGCUUGUCUUGCUUGCUCUGGUACCCAAAAGGUAACCAGGUUAAUAUUCCUGGUCCUAGUAGCACCUACUGCUAGUGCAUUCGUGCGCUGGUAGAAGCGGUAACGCAAGCUCAACUGAGCUAAGUGGAGCUAAAUCCCGGGGAGAGUUUUCUUUUCUUUGUAAAGGAGUAGUUCCCUUGAAAUGGCUUGUCCAGAGACAGGGAAACAACUUCUGUAAAGCACUGUGGUUACUACAGUGUCCGGUGUAUUUGCUCCAUGCCAUAAAGCCUCAGUUGAGUGGACUAAUGGUUGCGCUAGGGUGUACCCAUAUCCGCAUCAGGUCUCCAAGGUGAGUAGCCUCU